Molecule: ribosomal RNA, 639 nt
Filed under: uncultured Actinomycetes bacterium
Lineage: Bacteria; Bacillati; Actinomycetota; Actinomycetes
Description: bacterial SSU rRNA
Rfam family: Bacterial small subunit ribosomal RNA
Source: RNAcentral
CGCGGCCUAUCAGCUUGUUGGUGGGGUAACGGCCUACCAAGGCAUCGACGGGUAGCUGGUCUGAGAGGAUGAUCAGCCACACUGGGACUGAGACACGGCCCAGACUCCUACGGGAGGCAGCAGUGGGGAAUCUUGCACAAUGGGCGAAAGCCUGAUGCAGCAACGCCGCGUGCGGGAAGAAGGCCUUCGGGUUGUAAACCGCUUUCAGAAGGAACGAAACUGACGGUACUUUCAGAAGAAGGUGCGGCCAACUACGUGCCAGCAGCCGCGGUGACACGUAGGCACCAAGCGUUGUCCGGAUUUAUUGGGCGUAAAGAGCUCGUAGGCGGUUCAGUAAGUCGGUUGUGAAAACUUUGGGCUUAACCCAAAGCGUGCGUCCGAUACUGCUGUGACUUGAGUCCGGUAGGGGAGUGGGGAAUUCCUAGUGUAGCGGUGAAAUGCGCAGAUAUUAGGAGGAACACCGGUGGCGAAGGCGCCACUCUGGGCCGAAACUGACGCUGAGGAGCGAAAGCAUGGGUAGCAAACAGGAUUAGAUACCCUGGUAGUCCAUGCCGUAAACGUUGGGCACUAGGUGUGGGUUCCAACCAACGGGAUCCGCGCCGUCGCUAACGCAUUAAGUGCCCCGCCUGGGGAGUACGG